Molecule: ribosomal RNA, 478 nt
Filed under: uncultured bacterium
Lineage: Bacteria
Description: partial 16S ribosomal RNA
Rfam family: Bacterial small subunit ribosomal RNA
Source: RNAcentral
GAUGAACGCUGGCGGCGUGCUUAACACAUGCAAGUCGAACGGGAAUUAUUUUAUUGACACUUCGGUCGAUUUAAUUUAAUUAUAGUGGCGGACGGGUGAGUAACGCGUGGGUAACCUGCCUUAUACAGGGGGAUAACAGUCAGAAAUGGCUGCUAAUACCGCAUAAGCGCACAGAGCUGCAUGGCUCAGUGUGAAAAACUCCGGUGGUAUAAGAUGGACCCGCGUUGGAUUAGCUGGUUGGUGGGGUAACGGCCCACCAAGGCGACGAUCCAUAGCCGGCCUGAGAGGGUGAACGGCCACAUUGGGACUGAGACACGGCCCAGACUCCUACGGGAGGCAGCAGUGGGGAAUAUUGCACAAUGGGGGAAACCCUGAUGCAGCGACGCCGCGUGAAGGAAGAAGUAUCUCGGUAUGUAAACUUCUAUCAGCAGGGAAGAUAGUGACGGUACCUGACGAAGAAGCCCCGGCUAACUACGUG